This 91-nucleotide transfer RNA is filed under the name Pyrinomonadaceae bacterium. Its description in RNAcentral is "tRNA-Ser". It matches the Rfam family "tRNA". From Rfam's summary of the family: Transfer RNA (tRNA) molecules are approximately 80 nucleotides in length. Their secondary structure includes four short double-helical elements and three loops (D, anti-codon, and T loops). Lineage: Bacteria; Pseudomonadati; Acidobacteriota; Blastocatellia; Blastocatellales; Pyrinomonadaceae. The record is from RNAcentral. RNAcentral also lists the same sequence under 2 other names.
GGAGAUGUGGCUGAGUGGCUGAAAGCGGCAGUUUGCUAAAUUGUUGAGGAUCAAAAGUCUUCCACAGGUUCGAAUCCUGUCAUCUCCGCCA